This 492-nucleotide ribosomal RNA is filed under the name uncultured bacterium. RNAcentral's name for it is "bacterial SSU rRNA". It matches the Rfam family "Bacterial small subunit ribosomal RNA", at positions 17 to 518 of the family's 1533-position model. The record is from RNAcentral.
UCCUGGCUACAGAACGAACGGCUGGUGGCGUGCUUAUACAUGCAAGUCGAGCGGCGUAGCAAUACGUAGCGGCGAACGGGUGAGUAACGCGUAAGCAAUCUGCCCCAUAUCAGGAAAUACCCGUGCCAACGCGCGGUUAAUGUCCAGGAGAGUGGCCCCCUGCAUGAGGGGUUGACUAGAGAUUCAUCGGUAUGGGAUGAGCUUGCGUCCGAUUAGCUAGUUGGCGGGGCAACGGCCCACCAAGGCGACGAUCGGUAGCCGGCCUGAGACGGGUGAUCGGCCACAUUGGGACUGAGAUACGGCCCAGACUCCUACGGGAGGCAGCAGUAGGGAAUAUUGCACAAUGGGGGGAACCCUGAUGCAGCAACGCCACGUGUGGGAAGAAGCAUUUCGGUGUGUAAACCUACUGUCGUGAGGGAAUAAGGCCUGCUUUCGGGCAGGAUUGAAUGUACCUCGAAAGGAAGCACCGGCAAACUUCGUGCCAGCCGCUGC